Pelobates cultripes (western spadefoot toad) is the source of this 559-nucleotide non-coding RNA. NCBI's taxonomy places the organism in Eukaryota, Metazoa, Chordata, Amphibia, Anura, Pelobatidae. The record is from the annotation of a GenBank genome assembly.
GUUUUCCCCUUUCUCAAAUACUCAAUUCACUCAUCCCGAAUAGUGUUUUGGUGCCCACCAAUAUCUUUAAAAACCUUAGGGUAAUUGAUUAUUGCUUUUUGAUAUUGGCGCUUCAUGAAAUUAAUGAUUAGGUGCAGUGACGGUGUGAGGAGUACAGUGUGCGAGAGGUACAGUGUCUGUGUGUGGGGUGCAGUGUGCAUGAGGGCUGCAAUGUCUGUGUGAGCGGUACAGUGUCUGUGUGUGGGGUGCAGUGUGCAUGAGGGCUGCAAUGUCUGUGCGAGUAGUACAGUGUCUGUGUGUGGGGUGCAGUGUGCAUGAGGGCUGCAAUGUCUGUGCGAGUAGUACAGUGUCUGUGUGUGGGAGGCAGUGUGCAUGAGGGCUGCAAUGUCUGUGCGAGCGGUACAGUGUCUGUGUGUGGGAGGCAGUGUGCAUGAGGGCUGCAAUGUCUGUGCGAGUGGUACAGUGUCUGUAUGUGGGGUGCAGUGUGCAUGAGGGCUGCAAUGUCUGUGUGGUACAGUGUCUGUAUGUGGGGUGCAGUGUGCAUGAGGGCUGCAAUGUC